Non-coding RNA from Monodelphis domestica (gray short-tailed opossum), 1162 nucleotides. NCBI's taxonomy places the organism in Eukaryota, Metazoa, Chordata, Mammalia, Didelphimorphia, Didelphidae. The record is from RefSeq and is a predicted model, not a curated record.
AUCAGCGGCCCGAGACCGCGGAUUUAAACCAAUCACAUGCUAUCACUCGAGGAAAGUAAGGAAGAAGCCCGGCUCUUUCUAUCAACCACCAAUCCAAACUCAUCUUUCGCGGGCAUUGGCCAAUGACCGCUGACCGGUCCCUCGGGACCUGGAGACAGCCGCUCGCGCCUGCGCUCGUGUAUUGGGCCAAUGAGAGUGCGCCGAUGCUUCGAUUUCGGGCUUCUCCUACGUCCCUCCUGCUCUCGAGGAUUUCGGCCAAUAGGAUCGAGGCGCUGCAUCCCUGAGCAACAAUAAAUGGAAGGGAGCGGGCGGGCAGACGGGAUAGGGCGAUAGGAAAAAGACCACAGGCGGGAAUUUCUUUUGCACCAGCAGUGCUUUUCUCUCUUCUCUUUUUUUUUUCAAAAGUAACAUGGCUCAAGGAUCCCCAUUCAAGAGACCAGAGUGACAGUUUGGAUCUCCCUCUCCACUUCUCCUUUGGAAUAAUGAGGGAUAUUCCCUAGCAACCCUAUUCCAAACAUCUCUUUUGGACUCCCCCCCCCAAAGCUCCCGACUACAAUUCCCAUGCUGCAACACAACCCAGAGCGAGGGACACGAGAACUUGCGCGUUGUGUUCUGGGAUGUGUAGUUUCCCUGGGGGUCAAAAGUUGUUGAGGGAGUAGUUCUUGGUGUGAGGCAUGCUGGGAAUUGUAGUCUAUUGUGCUUUACACCUGGCCUUUAAAGAGAAAGAUUCCAGACUGCUGGAGUUUUCCCCCCGGACCUGCGAAGUCUUCCCCAUAUCCACAGUAGAAGAGGUGGAGGACCUCAGGAAGGGCCCCUUCGUUGCCAUGUGAUCCUAAACAUCUUCAGAAACACGGACUAUCAGAGAAUUACUAUAAAUGAUCACAGGAAAGAAGUCUUCUCAGUCCUUAAGGGGAAUGGUCAAGGAAAGAACUGUGGCUAUUGAAUUUAGUUAACCCCAAGCUAUAUUUUAAGUAUUAUAAUCAUUUCUGUCUUCAGAAUUCCUAUAAAUGUCAAAUCAUCUUAAGGUAGAGAGUCGUAUCAAAGGACAUGGAAGGCUUUUGCCCAUUUGGACCUCUCUUUUUCAAAGCUAGAAAUGCUCGGAUAUAGUAGAAUAUUAAUGGAAUAAAAUGGAUUCUGGCAGAUCUAAGCCUAAAAUGCAAAA